CUAGAAAACAGCGAUGGUGAAUUAGAAUCACUUACAGAAUUGAGCGAUUAGUGAUUCAUGGGAAAAUUCAUCAACACUGUAAGUGACGACAGCGACGAUUCUGCGACUGAGCUCAGUGAUAUGCAAACUUGGUGCUCUAUUGACUGUGGUAUGGAUCAGGCAGCGCCCCCAAGAUUACCAUUUGCUGAACCAUCUGGUAUGAAAGACAUUGAACACCACAACCCCCUGGCAAACUAACAAUUAUUUCUGACCCGUGAGGUUAUUGGAAAACAUAUUGGCAAAAAUAGUUACUGAGACAAACCGGUUCAAAGAGCAACAAUUAGCUACUCUGCAUGGGAAGUUUUCAAGAAGCCGAAAGUGGGAACCAGUGAC
Pelobates cultripes (western spadefoot toad) is the source of this 372-nucleotide non-coding RNA. Lineage: Eukaryota; Metazoa; Chordata; Amphibia; Anura; Pelobatidae. The record is from the annotation of a GenBank genome assembly.